CAGCAGCCGCGGUAAAACGGAGGGUGCAAGCGUUAAUCGGAAUUACUGGGCGUAAAGCGCACGCAGGCGGUUUGUUAAGUCAGAUGUGAAAUCCCCGAGCUUAACUUGGGAACUGCAUUUGAAACUGGCAAGCUAGAGUCUUGUAGAGGGGGGUAGAAUUCCAGGUGUAGCGGUGAAAUGCGUAGAGAUCUGGAGGAACAUCAGUGGCGAAGGCGGCCAUCUGGGACAACACUGGCGCUGAGGCACGAAAGCGUGGGGAGCAAACAGGAUUAGAUACCCGUGUAGUCCCUGUCUCUUAUAC
Molecule: ribosomal RNA, 301 nt
Filed under: uncultured bacterium
Lineage: Bacteria
Description: partial 16S ribosomal RNA
Rfam family: Bacterial small subunit ribosomal RNA
Source: RNAcentral